UUAAGUUCAGCGGGUCUUCCUACCUGAUUUGACACCCGAGUUCAAGCUGGUUGCCCAACUUAGUUGCAGCCGAAACUGCAGGGGAGAUUAGCAAAUUAACUAUCGCUAACACUAAAGGAAGUGGGCAAGCCCUUCAUACACUUAAGUGCUUUGCAACAUACCGUUAACAACUAAGCAAUUCAUUUAAAGCUAUUGACUAU
Molecule: unclassified non-coding RNA, 200 nt
Filed under: fungal sp.
Lineage: Eukaryota; Fungi
Description: partial internal transcribed spacer 2
Source: RNAcentral